UAACAAUUAUAUAUGGGAACAGAUCUUUGC
RNAcentral lists this non-coding RNA (30 nucleotides) under Mus musculus (house mouse). The record is from RNAcentral. Lineage: Eukaryota; Metazoa; Chordata; Mammalia; Rodentia; Muridae.